CAUAUCAAUAAGCGGAGGAAAAGAAACCAACAGGGAUUGCCCUAGUAACGGCGAGUGAAGCGGCAACAGCUCAAAUUUGAAAGCUGGCUCCGGCCCGCAUUGUAAUUUGCAGAGGAUGCUUCUGGUGAGGUGCCUUCCGAGUUCCCUGGAACGGGACGCCAUAGAGGGUGAGAGCCCCGUAUGGAUGGACACCAAACCUGUGUGAAGCUCCUUCAACGAGUCGAGUAGUUUGGGAAUGCUGCUCUAAAUGGGAGGUAAAUCUCUUCUAAAGCUAAAUACCGGCCAGAGACCGAUAGCGCACAAGUAGAGUGAUCGAAAGAUGAAAAGCACCUUGAAAAGGGGGUUAAACAGUACGUGAAAUUGUUGAAAGGGAAGCGCUUGUGACCAGACUUGCGCCGGGCAGCUCAUCAGGGGUUCUCCCCUGUGCACUCUGCCCGGCUCAGGCCAGCAUCGGUUCUCGUGGGAGGAUAAGAACGGUAGGAACGUGGCCCCCUUCCGGGGGGGUGUUAUAGCCUACCGUACGAUACUCCCGUGGGGACCGAGGUUCGCGCUCCGCAAGGAUGCUGGCGUAAUGGUCAUCAGCGACCCGUCUUG
RNAcentral lists this ribosomal RNA (594 nucleotides) under Cytospora schulzeri. RNAcentral describes it as "partial 28S ribosomal RNA". It matches the Rfam family "Eukaryotic large subunit ribosomal RNA", at positions 39 to 656 of the family's 3401-position model. The record is from RNAcentral. Lineage: Eukaryota; Fungi; Ascomycota; Sordariomycetes; Diaporthales; Cytosporaceae. RNAcentral also lists the same sequence under 1 other name.